Bos taurus (domestic cattle) is the source of this 2214-nucleotide long non-coding RNA. The record is from Ensembl. Lineage: Eukaryota; Metazoa; Chordata; Mammalia; Artiodactyla; Bovidae.
GAAAGAGAGACGAGGCACGUGAUUCCUGACGCACGUAGGCCGGUGGGGCGGGGCGGGAAGCGCUGGCGGUGCCGGCAGAUGGGCGCCCUCUCCCGUCUUUCAGAGACCACUCAGUCCAGUCAAGUCUGCAAGUCGGUUAUCUUGGGGGCUCUGGCGGUCGAAGUGGCGUUAACUCGCGUUGGUGCGAGAGAAAUUCUUUGCUGGCCAAAUCUCUUGCUGGCCAAUGAUCAACUCUUUCCAAGCUGAGUUUUCUUUACUGUUAUACAGGACUAUCAUGAAGAUGCAUUGAAAGUUACACACACUGGAGGAGUGUGAUAUCCCUUUCAGUUGGUAAUCUUCCUGUCGUGAAAGUUGCUUGCCAGCUUUACUUUUGAAUGAACACAGUAAACACCAAGCUCUUCUCAGGAUUGAGAUAUGGAAAGAUCCUUCUGUCCUUUACCACACAGUUCCUUUGUCAGGAAUUCCAGGAUUUCCUCCAAGUUUGCAAGUGGCGCUAGUGGAUAAAGAACCUGCUUGCCAAUGCAGAAGACGCAAGAGACACAAGUUCUGUCCCUAAGUCAGGAAGAUCCCCUGGAGGAAGAAAUGGCAAUCUACUCCAGUAUUCUUGCCCUGAGAAUACCAUGGACAUAGGAGCCUAAUGGGCUACACUCCCUGGGAUUGCAGAGAGUUGGACAGACUGAAGUGACUUAGCAUGCACGCAAUCACGAGUGUUUGUGAUUUUUCUCCUUAAUCAGGAGUUAAUUUUCAAAUCGUUAAGAGGUAAGAAGAAGAGGUUCCAGGGAAGAAAACUGAGAACUGAUUGAGAAGUAUGAAGAGGAUGGAGUGCAGAAGAUGGGGAGAAGCAUGUUCAGUCGAGUGUGAUAAUCCCUAUUGCCCAAAGUGUCAGGAGUUGAGUCGGAGUAACUGAAGCUGACAAGUCUGUUGAUGAUAGGUAAUCUGGAGGAGGAAAGCAGUAUCAAGAUACAAGUCUGAGAAAACUCAGGUCUCAAGAAAUUGUGCCAUCAAAGGGAGAAGAGAACUGUGGCAGCAAGUAAAAUCUUUUAUGAAGAUUGAUGGUGAAGGCUAAUUGAAAAUGCCAGUGUUGGAACCCCACCCCCCUCCUCCUUCCCAUUCAUCCUGAGCCCAAGAGAUCUCCAUAAAAUUGACCUGGAUGCCUUUCAUUCAAGGUUCUGACACCUAGUAGAUGCUCAUGAAUAUUUGUUGAAUGAAGGACUGAAGAUAGAAGAGAGACAGAUGAAAUGAGAUCAUGAGUCGCUUCAGUCAUGUCCGACUCUGUGUGACCCCAGAGACGACAGCCCACCAGGCUCCCCCAUCCCUGGGAUUCUCCAGGCAAGAACACUGGAGUGGGUUGCCAUUUCCUUCUCCAAUGCAUGAAAGUGAAAAGUGAAAGUGAAGUUGCUCAGUCAUGUCCGACUCUUAGCGACCCCAUGGACUGCAGCCUACCAGGCUCCUCCGUCCAUGGGAUUUUCCAGUCUAGGCUUCCCUUGUGGCUCAGCUGGUAAAGAAUCUGCCUGCAAUGCGGGAGACCUGCAUUCGAUCCCUGGAUUGGGAAGACCCCUUGAAGAAGGGAAAGGCUACCCAUGUUAGUAUUCUGGCCUGGAGAAUUCCAAUGGACUUUACAGUCCAUGGGGUUGCAAAGAGUUGGACAUGACUGAGCAACUUUCACUUUCAUUCUAGUUUACUAUGAAAUGAAACAUUCUGAAAUUAUUUUCACGUUCAGUUUAUCCUGAACUACUCUUUUGCUAUAUCAAUUUAUCUAGGGAAAGACAGUCUCAUUUGUGAGUUUUUUAAGUUCAAGUUAACUAUUGGUUUGCAUAAUCCCGUCUAGUCAAGGCUAUGGUUUUUCCUGUGGUCAUGUAUGGAUGUGAGAAUUGGACUGUGAAGAAGGCUGAGCACCGAAGAACUGAUGCUUUUGAACUGUGGUGUUGGAGAAGACUCUUGAGAGUCCCUUGGACUGCAAGGAGAUCCAACCAGUCCAUUCUGAAGGAGAUCAGCCCUGGGAUUUCUUUGGAGGGAAUUAUGCUGAAGCUGAAACUCCAGUACUUUGGCCACCUCAUGUGAAGAGUUGACUCAUUGGAAAAGACUCUGAUGCUGGGAGGGAUUGGGGGCGGGAGGAGAAGGGGACGACAGAGGAUGAGAUGGCUGGAUGGCAUCACUGACUCGAUGGAUGUGAGUCUGAGUGAACUCCGGGAGUUGGUGAUGGACAGGGAGGCC